AGGACGAACGCUGGCGGCGUGCUUAACACAUGCAAGUCGAACGAGGUGCUUGCACCUAGUGGCGAACGGGUGAGUAACACGUGAGCAACCUGCCCUUGGCUCUGGGAUAGCCUCCGGAAACGGGGAUUAAUACCGGACAUGACCUUCUUCCGCAUGGUUGAAGGUGGAAAGUUUUUCGGCCAGGGAGGGGCUCGCGGCCUAUCAGCUUGUUGGAGGGGUAACGGCCCACCAAGGCGACGACGGGUAG
RNAcentral lists this ribosomal RNA (247 nucleotides) under uncultured bacterium. RNAcentral's name for it is "partial small subunit ribosomal RNA". It matches the Rfam family "Bacterial small subunit ribosomal RNA", at positions 26 to 286 of the family's 1533-position model. The record is from RNAcentral.